AGAGUUUGAUCAUGGCUCAGGAUGAACGCUGGCGGCGUGCCUAAUACAUGCAAGUCGAACGAGGUGCUUUUGUAGCAAUACGAGAGUAUCCUAGUGGCGAACGGGUGAGUAACGCGUUGGUGACCUACCCCAAAGUGUGGGAUAACAGUCCGAAAGGAUUGCUAAUACCGCAUGUGGUCAUUGGAUUUAGAAACUGAUGACUAAAGGAGCAAUUCGCUUUGGGAGGGACCUGCGUCCCAUCAGCUAGUUGGUGAGGUAAUGGCUCACCAAGGCGACGACGGGUAGGGGACCUGAGAGGGUGGCCCCCCACAAUGGAACUGAAACACGGUCCAUACACCUACGGGUGGCAGCAGUAGGGAAUAUUGCACAAUGGGCGAAAGCCUGAUGCAGCAACGCCGCGUGUGUGAUGAAGGCCUUCGGGUCGUAAAGCACUUUUCUGGGAGAUGAGAAAGGACAGUAUCCCAGGAAUAAGUCUCGGCUAACUACGUGCCAGCCGCCGCGGUAAUAC
This 508-nucleotide ribosomal RNA is filed under the name uncultured bacterium. Its description in RNAcentral is "bacterial SSU rRNA". It matches the Rfam family "Bacterial small subunit ribosomal RNA", at positions 8 to 526 of the family's 1533-position model. The record is from RNAcentral.